CCAGCAGCCGCGGUAAUUCCAGCUCCAAUAGCGUAUAUUAAAGUUGUUGCAGUUAAAAAGCUCGUAGUUUGAUUUCUGGCAGUAGCAUCCGGUCCCGCACUCUGUGCGGGAACUUGGAUGUCUCUGGCCAUCUUUGGGGAUAUCAUGUUUGGCAUUAAGUUGUCGGGCAGGGGAUACCCAUCGUUUACUGUGAAAAAAUUAGAGUGUUUAAAGCAGGCUUAUGCCGUUGAAUAUAUUAGCAUGGAAUAAUAAGAUAGGACACUGGUACUAUUUUGUUGGUUUGCGCACCUGGGUAAUGAUUAAUAGAGACAGGCGGGGCUAUUCGUAUUGCAUUGUCAGAGGUGAAAUUCUUGGAUUUAUGCAAGACGAACUACUGAGAAAGCAUUUAGCAAGGAUGUUUUCAUUGAUCAAG
RNAcentral lists this ribosomal RNA (412 nucleotides) under uncultured eukaryote. RNAcentral's name for it is "SSU rRNA". It matches the Rfam family "Eukaryotic small subunit ribosomal RNA", at positions 567 to 981 of the family's 1831-position model. The record is from RNAcentral.